GUCGAACGCUGGCGGCGUGCUUAACACAUGCAAGUCGAACGGUGAAGCUCCAGCUUGCUGGAGUGGAUCAGUGGCGAACGGGUGAGUAACACGUGAGCAACCUGCCCCUGACUCUGGAAUAAGCGCUGGAAACGGCGUCUAAUACUGGAUACGAGAAGGGUCCGCAUGGGCACCUUCUGGAAAGUUUUUCGGUUGGGGAUGGGCUCGCGGCCUAUCAGCUUGUUGGUGAGGUAAUGGCUCACCAAGGCGACGACGGGUAGCCGGCCUGAGAGGGCGACCGGCCACACUGGGACUGAGACACGGCCCAGACUCCUACGGGAGGCAGCAGUGGGGAAUAUUGCACAAUGGGCGAAAGCCUGAUGCAGCGACGCCGCGUGAGGGAUGACGGCCUUCGGGUUGUAAACCUCUUUCAGCAGGGAAGAAGCGAAAGUGACGGUACCUGCAGAAGAAGCACCGGCUAACUACGUG
This 468-nucleotide ribosomal RNA is filed under the name uncultured bacterium. RNAcentral's name for it is "partial 16S ribosomal RNA". It matches the Rfam family "Bacterial small subunit ribosomal RNA", at positions 28 to 507 of the family's 1533-position model. The record is from RNAcentral.